CUAGCGACUUCAGAGUUUGAUCCUGGCUCAGGACGAACGCUGGCGGCGUGCUUAACACAUGCAAGUCGAACGGGGAUCACCGAGCGGAAGGCUUCGGCUGGAAGGUUGGUGAUUCCAGUGGCGGACGGGUGAGUAACGCGUGAGCAAUCUGUCCCAGACAGGGGAAUAACACUUGGAAACAGGUGCUAAUACCGCAUAAGACCACGGUGUCGCAUGGCACAGGGGUAAAAGGAGGGAUCCGGUUUGGGGUGAGCUCGCGUCCGAUUAGCCAGUUGGCGGGGUAACGGCCCACCAAAGCGACGAUCGGUAGCCGACCUGAGAGGGUGAUCGGCCACAUUGGAACUGAGAGACGGUCCAA
Molecule: ribosomal RNA, 358 nt
Filed under: uncultured bacterium
Lineage: Bacteria
Description: bacterial SSU rRNA
Rfam family: Bacterial small subunit ribosomal RNA
Source: RNAcentral